CAGCCGCCACGGUAAUACGUAGGUGGCAAGCGUUGUCCGGAAUUAUUGGGCGUAAAGCGCGCGCAGGCGGCCUAUCCAGUCUGUCUUAAAAGUUCGGGGCUCAACCCCGUGAUGGGAUGGAAACUAGUAGGCUAGAGUAUCGGAGAGGAAAGCGGAAUUCCUAGUGUAGCGGUGAAAUGCGUAGAUAUUAGGAAGAACACCAGUGGCGAAGGCGGCUUUCUGGACGGAAACUGACGCUGAGGCGCGAAAGCCAGGGGAGCGAACGGGAUUAGAUACCCCCGUAGUCCCUGUCUCUUAUACC
This 301-nucleotide ribosomal RNA is filed under the name uncultured bacterium. RNAcentral's name for it is "partial 16S ribosomal RNA". It matches the Rfam family "Bacterial small subunit ribosomal RNA", at positions 509 to 808 of the family's 1533-position model. The record is from RNAcentral.